Molecule: long non-coding RNA, 841 nt
Organism: Magnolia sinica
Lineage: Eukaryota; Viridiplantae; Streptophyta; Magnoliopsida; Magnoliales; Magnoliaceae
Exons: 2
Source: RefSeq, a predicted model, not a curated record
CCCUAUUCCCUUUCCCUCCCUCUCUCUCUCUACAGCUUGGAGCAGAUCUAGUUUGGAUUUCCUUUAGCCUUUACCCCUUCACUAAUUUUUAGGGUUUUAAAUAUGGCUUGGAGCAAAUCUAGUUGAGGUCGAAGCAUUUGGUGGAGGGUUUCUUGUAGAAAUUGCAUUUUGUAAGAGGUCCCAUUUUUGGAUUUUUUAGGCGUUUGGAGUUAUAGAUAUGAUUGGCAUUGAAGUGCUAAUUUCAAACGUGCUGAAGAAAGCGGAAGAGGAGUUCGAUUUCCAGACGUGCAGGGGCCUAAUUUUAUCAUGUGAGGUGAGUUUUUUCAAAGGGGUUUUGAAGAUUCUCGAGAAGGACGAGCAAAGAUUCUAUGGGGUGGGACUGGAAGAGGUUUUUAAGAUAUUUUUUUGAAGUGAGUUUUGAUCCUUGCAAGGGAGCGAUAGGAUCUUCCCAUGGUUUCAUGAUCCCAUUGCAGAAGACUAGGGUUUUGGGUUCAUUCUUGAUGCUCAAAGAUUGGUCGGAUGGUUCCAUGACGAGUCUAACUCGGGACUCACUGACAAUUCCAACUACUCCAACCCCAACCGCUAGUUAUUGUCGCAUCCUUCAAUUUCUUCAUGUGAAGCUCACUCGAUGGUUUUGAUCAGGUUCUUUCUUCCUACCUUCCUUUUUUCCCCCUUUGCCCCCUUUUGUAUAUUGUUGUUGUUGCUUUUUCCUUCUUCUUAGUUAGAUAGAGAAGUGAGGAACUGGUGCUAAUUUUGUAUGAUUGGAGAAAUGCUGAUGUUGUAAUUUGUAUCGAAUUGUGUUAUGGAGAUUGAUCUUUUAGAAUGUGGUGGUUUUGUAUUU